AUGCCAAGAGAAAAAUGUUCGAUUUCCAAACAGAACCUGGAGCUUUUCUGCAGACCCUCUAAUGCUAAAAAGGGAUGCCCUGAACUCUUAUGGGAAUGUGUUAAAGCGGAGCACCAAGACACUGGGAAAUUGCCAGGCAGAGGCUAUGUUUGUACCAACUCCUCCUUUCCUUCUGGUAUAAAAGGAAAGAGGUGCUAUGAGUCAAAAACCUUAGCAGGUUUUCAAGAACUCUGGAAGGAAGCUAGAUACAUUAUAAAAGACCAGCCACACCAAAUGACUUUCACCCCACAAGCAGAUGAAUCAACAAAAUAUACAAUCCAAUAUCUCAGCCAUUAUUUUCCUGACCAAGAAUUAAAUAUUGGCUGGGACGUUGGCCAACCUUUGAAGAACAUGAUCUCCCAGAGAGUUUUCCUGCCUCCUGCCAUCCUUAGCCAAAUGUGCAAUACACCAAGAAGAAAUGGGGCAUUUUCUGGUUGCCGGCUUCCUAGGGUGGAAAAUAUGGGAAAAGAAGCAGGGAUUCAGCGUAGAAGUAAGUAUUUGAAUAUUGAGAGGGAUGACAAAUAGGAAACUCACAAGGUGGGCACAACACAGCUAAAAAUACAUCAUCGUAAAAGAUUAUAUAAAAGACACAAAACAUAUUUCUAUGAAAUUCAUAUAUUAAAAUACACAGAGCAAAGAUUAAAAUGCAAUAAACACAAGACGUGAAUUUAAAAUUCAUAAUUAAAAUUGAUUGGGUAGGCCGGCCAGAAGAGAUAGGUCUUUGGUUGUGUUUUAAAUUCUGACAGCUCAUUUAGCUGUCAACGCUCUUCUGGCAAGACAUUCCACAGUCGUGGGGCAGCCAAUUAAAAUGAGUCAGGUUAGGAUUUGCCCAAGGCCCUCUAAAACAGUAUUUUGCUGAUGAAAUGAAGGAGUAAUUCACUCCUUUAGAAAUCCUGACCAAACAGUUCUUUUCUGCUUUUUCUAUUGAGUUCACUCUAUGUAUAUUUUUUCUGUCUUGCCAGCCAGACAUGUUCUCCUUUCACCGACUAACACUUUUAAUGGCUAACAGAGGUAAUAAAGAAAAGUUGUUCAGAAAAAAAGGUAAUAAAUGAGGACAUUGAGAAAGUAAAACAGUUUUGCCUUCAGAGAAAAAGAGGAAUCAAGCCAAAUACAUUGUCUGUCCCUCUGGCUGUAAUUCAGUAAAUUGGGGGUCAUGACAAUUUUAAAAACAGCUCUGUUCAGAUGAUUGCUGCCCACUAAGUCUCUGAAAUAACUGAGAACACAAAGUUAAAAAGAAUAUUUAUACUAAUGAAAGUGCCUCUGUGGCAGUGGUUCUCAACCUGGGGUCCCCAGAUGUUUUUAGCCUACAACUCCCAGAAAUCCUGGCCAGUUUAUCAGCUGAUGGGAUUUAUGGAAGGUGAAAACAUCUAGGGACCCACAGGUUGAGAACCACUGCCCUAAGGGGCUUCCAGGACCACCUCAGUCUCAAGUAAAAGAAUCCUGAGGAAAAGAUUGACCACAAGAUGAAAGGUGAAUUAAAAAGGUAAAGCCACUGUUUAAAAAUUAUCUAGGGUUAUAGAAAUGUAUAGAACUUGUUUCUCAGGGUGAGUCAACCAAGAAAACUCACAAUGUUGCUUCAGGCCACCAAAUUGGGUUUGUAUAUUCUAAGGUAGGGAGCACAGCUAGCUCACCUUCAGCAACUAGGCAGAGAGAGCAAGCAAGCAAAUAACCUUGCAGCCCCAGAAAAUGAGUGGCAUCUCAGGGAAGAUGAAUAAGCUGUCCGUGAAUAGAGAGGUAGAAACAGAGCUAUCACAAUGCUAGCAUCAAGAAAGAAAUCAAAACAGGGAAUAUGUAACAUGACUUGGAUUAUUUAUAGGGACUGGUGGAGAGAUCAUAAAAUACAGUUAAAUCAGUUCCAAGUUAGUCACAUACUGAGGCUUCUGUAAAAAGAAAUUAUAAAAGGUUUAAGGCCAAACAGUUUAAAGAGACAAGUGUCAGCCUUAAAUUCAAUGCUAAAUCGAUAUGGGGAAAUGUUGUCAGUUCACCCAUAUAUUUUAGUACUGUGAACUACCCACAAGUUUUCUUUGUAGGAUCUAAAUUUAGUAUUGAAUGUGGCCAUUACUGCACCUUUGAAGCAAUAAAAGAGGCAUCACUAAAGUCAUUGACUUUUAAGGAGAUUUUUUUUUUGCAAUAUGAUGCUUAUGAAAAUGGCAAUGAACUAAUAAAACCUGAUAGAAUUCUGAACAUUAAGGAUUAGACUUUAUAUACUUCAAGAAUUAAAAAUUCUGGUGCUAUAAAAAUCCAGAGAGAAUCACUAUAUACAUACAUACAUACAUACAUAUACACAUACACACACACACACACACCUUCCUCAAGUAAUUUCUGACUUAAGAUCAUCUUAAGACAAGCCUAUGGUGGAGUUUUGUUGAGAAGAGGUUUGCGUAAGUUGGUGUGAAUUGCUCAAGGUUUCUAUGGGAUUUGGACCUAGGUUUCCCAGAAUCCUAAACCAGCACUCAAACCUCUACACAGUACAGCCUCUGGACUCAGUACAUUUCCUUUUCUAUUUUGUAAUAAAAAUGUCAACUAGGAGGAUAAUUUCAGGGAGGGGAGGGGAGAAUAAAUCAGGAGGAAAUCUAAGGAUUCUGCAGUGUAAGGCAAUCUAGAGACAAAGCCAGAGAGGUCAAAAUAACAUUUUAAUGACACUGAGAUAUUUACAAGCGUCAGCUGUUUAAGGAAUUGCAGUCAGGUGAUUUUAAACUUGAAAUAGUGCCAGAACCCAGCACAAUCACCAAAUAAAUUCUAUGAUGUUAUUUAUGUUACUGUUUAUUUUCAUUUUCUCACUUUUUUGUUUAUAAAAAUAAAAUUGCAAAGAAAUUAAAUUCGCUGCUAUGUUCUUUAAAUAACAAAACUGUACAUAGUAAAAACCUAAACAAAACUUGUAAAGCACAUCAAAUUAACACUCCAUACUUAAAUGCCUACCGAAAUGAAAGACAUGCAGAACAAGAGGCCUCUUUUUGAAUGGAGUCCAAAGAUAUCUGCUGACAUGCAGAAUCUGUCCCCUCAGCAGUGAGUCAUCUCAGGCCGGCCACAAUUUGGUGGGGAGAACAACAGGGGUUUUCCAUGUUAAGCAGUGUGGCUUACUUACUGCCAUCAGGCUGAAUACAUAGUAUCUUUCUUCGAAAAUAAGCAAUACGAAACUGGACCACCCUGCUCCAAAUGAUCAUCCUCAGAACUGGCAUUUGACCAUAUUGGCUGGCAGAUUUUGACAGUUGUAGUACAAAACUGUAACUUUUUCUAGCUAUGUAAUUUGCCUGAGGUUUUUUCUAAGGUUCAACUGUAUGAAUACAAUUGCAAUUUAAUUGUAUUAUCCAGGAUUGAAACUAAUCAAUUUUACAGAUCACAGCAUCAUCUAGGGCAGAACUUCUUUAACUUUUUCAACUUGCGACCAUUUCCCACCUGAGAAAUUUUAAUGUUGACCCCCAGAUAUAGGUAUAUAAAAUAGGUAUAAAAUCAAACAUUUACUGAUUACAAACCAGCAUUUGCAAAGCUUACUAAACAGUAUGAUUUUCUUGUUUCCUGAAGCAUCAUCUGCAGACUUCACUGUAAACACUGCACAACAGAUUUGUGUAAAUGUCUGAAACAGCCACUAAAUGAUAUUCAGAAAACUUUUACUGCCUGCCAAUUUUUGUGACCUCGACAUUGAGCAAAGGGGACUCCAUUUGGGAUCAGAAACCAGAGUUUUAAAAGCCCUGCUCUAAAGUACACAGAGCAAUCUUUCUGGAUUGUGAACCAAUUCAUCUUUAUUUUUCUCUUUAUUUGGAGAGGAUUUUGCAAGGUCAGCCAGGGCUACUCCUUUGUUGUUGUGUGCCUUCAAGUCAUUUGCAGUUUAUGGUGACUCUAAGGUGAAACUAUAAUGGAAUUUUGUUAGUAAGAUUUGUUCAGAAGGGAUAUGCCUUUGCUUCCCUCUGAGACUAAGAGAGUGUGACUUGCCCAAAGUCAGCCAGUGGGUUUCCAUGACUGAGUGGGGAUUUGAACCGUGGUCUCCAGAGUCAUAAUCCAACAUUCAAACCACUAUACCACACUGACUCCGCCAUUCUUUUCCACUGUAGAAAAUAACUUAUAUGCCCAAUGUGUGGAAACUGAAGGUGCUUUUAUAUAAUCUAGAAUGUCUGAAAUUAUUAUAAGAGAUCUUGUAUUAGAACUUAAGAGCAUAUGAAUCGAAGCUGUAAAAUUAGAGUUCUCUAUUUCAGUAAUACACCAAGUCCUAGUGAUUAAAGCUGAUAGCAAACAUUUCAGAGAAAUUAACAUUUAUUAUGGGAAGACAAUAACUUGUAAAUAACACAUUAUUUCCAGUAGUAUGUAGGCAAUACU
Anolis carolinensis (green anole) is the source of this 4350-nucleotide long non-coding RNA. The record is from Ensembl. Lineage: Eukaryota; Metazoa; Chordata; Lepidosauria; Squamata; Anolidae.